UGGCGGCAAUAGCGCGGUGGUCCCACCUGACCCCAUGCCGAACUCAGAAGUGAAACGCCGUAGCGCCGAUGGUAGUGUGGGGUCUCCCCAUGCGAGAGUAGGACACUGCCAGGCAU
RNAcentral lists this ribosomal RNA (116 nucleotides) under Serratia marcescens. Lineage: Bacteria; Pseudomonadati; Pseudomonadota; Gammaproteobacteria; Enterobacterales; Yersiniaceae. The record is from RNAcentral.